MicroRNA precursor from Gallus gallus (chicken), 54 nucleotides. NCBI's taxonomy places the organism in Eukaryota, Metazoa, Chordata, Aves, Galliformes, Phasianidae. The record is from Ensembl.
UCUGUUCUUAAGGAGGCUGAGGCUGUUGGUCCCGUUUCCUGGAAGUGAUGGAGC